RNAcentral lists this ribosomal RNA (497 nucleotides) under uncultured bacterium. RNAcentral's name for it is "partial 16S ribosomal RNA". It matches the Rfam family "Bacterial small subunit ribosomal RNA", at positions 28 to 507 of the family's 1533-position model. The record is from RNAcentral.
GAUGAACGCUGGCGGCGUGCCUAAUACAUGCAAGUCGAGCGAACAGACGAGGAGCUUGCUCCUCUGACGUUAGCGGCGGACGGGUGAGUAACACGUGGAUAACCUACCUAUAAGACUGGGAUAACUUCGGGAAACCGGAGCUAAUACCGGAUAAUAUAUUGAACCGCAUGGUUCAAUAGUGAAAGACGGUUUUGCUGUCACUUAUAGAUGAAUCCGCGCCGCAUUAGCUAGUUGGUAAGGUAACGGCUUACCACGGCCACGACGCGUAGCCGACCUGAGAGGGUGAUCGGCCACACUGGCACUGAGACACGGUCCAGACUCCUACGGGAGGCAGCAGUAGGGAAUCUUCCGCAAUGGGCGAAAGCCUGACGGAGCAACGCCGCGUGAGUGAUGAAGGUCUUCGGAUCGUAAAACUCUGUUAUUAGGGAAGAACAAAUGUGUAAGUAACUAUGCACGUCUUGACGGUACCUAAUCAGAAAGCCACGGCUAACUACGUG